ACACCUUCACACCAAUUAAAAUUGGUGGAAAUAAAUUGUUGAACUAAGCGUGCAGAAAAAAAAAUCAAAACGCACGUUGUUGUCGUUUGGACGUCAGACUUGGAAUGAUAGAUGUCACCUACUCCCAUUGCGCCAUCCCCCCCGUCAUGUGACGUGCUGACGUCAGGAUACCUGGUUCCCAAGUUGCUAACCUUGGUUAUUGCAUAACCUCAUACAAAAUUUAAUGUACAGUGUUGUUAUCUCGCACAGAUGAAAAUUCAAACAUGUCACCAAAGAAUGUGUGUGGGUGCAUGUGUUUUGAAAGAGUUCUUGGAAAUCUCAACUGUGUACUGAUAUUUACUGUACCUCUUAAACCGCCCAUACCUAUGUAGCGUCAAACCUAAUAAUUACUCUAUAUGGUAUUUCCUACUCGAAAUUAAGUCCAAUUUUUCCAACAUUAUCGCCACCAAAGAAUGUGUGUGAGUGUGUUUUGAAAGAGUUCUUGGAAAUGUCAACUGUAUACUGACAUUUAAAUACUUGUACCUCCUUGAACAGCCCAUACUUAUGUACUUAUACCGCCCAUCAAAUAAUUACUCACUCUGGUAUUUCCUACUCCAAUCUCAACUUGUGAAACAAAAUGUUUUUAUUAUUAACAAAUAAAAGAACUCUUGGGUCGUUGACGUAACACACUCUCCUCCGCAGAGGCUUUGUGUUUUGUUUUGGGGUUUUUCGAAGUUUGUAGGCGGGAUAGUCGCGGGCUAGGCAGGCUAGGGGAAACGGCUCCGCCUCUCCCCUUUCAUCCCUAUUUAUACCCUAUAAUUUCCCCCUAGCCUGCCUAGCCCGCGACUAUUCUGCCUGCAAACUUCGAAAAAACCCAAAACAAAACACAAAGCCUCUGCGGAGGAGAGUGGACCGCCAGACGUAACAUACUUUUAAUAACUUAAUGUUACAAAUGGUUUCACAAGAUCUUGGUCACAAUUUUUUUCACUGGUAAAUUCGAAUUUCACUGGGAAAGUUAGGUGCUUGUAGGUUCGUUCCGGCCAAAUAUUAGAAAAUCUGAACUGGGAAUUACCUAUAUUGAAGAUAUUUUAAAGAAAAGAGAAACCUUUAUUAUCUUCAAGAUUUAUUCACCUAAAUGUAAAGCUAUGUGAAAACAAACUAAACUGUACUUAUUCUAUAACAAGUACUAGUUAAAACAUUCGCAUCCAAUAUUUAUCUGAUAUACAAACUCGAGAAACGACCUUACAAAACGACCCAUCCUAUGAGUUCAUUGGCGAAGUAAUUUUAAAAAUAAACAUUGUCUAAGCCGAGAAAAUCAAAGCUGAAGUUUAUGUAAAUCAGGACAAAUCUUUAUCCGAU
Paramuricea clavata is the source of this 1338-nucleotide non-coding RNA. The record is from the annotation of a GenBank genome assembly. NCBI's taxonomy places the organism in Eukaryota, Metazoa, Cnidaria, Anthozoa, Malacalcyonacea, Plexauridae.